CAGCAGCCGCGGUAAUACGUAGGUGGCGAGCGUUGUCCGGAUUUAUUGGGCGUAAAGGGAGUGUAGGCGGUCUUUUAAGUCUGAUGUGAAAGCCCACGGCUCAACCGUGGAGGGUCAUUGGAAACUGGGAGACUUGAGUGCAGAAGAGGAGAGCGGAAUUCCAUGUGUAGCGGUGAAAUGCGUAGAUAUAUGGAGGAACACCAGUGGCGAAGGCGGCUCUCUGGUCUGUAACUGACGCUGAGGCUCGAAAGCGUGGGGAGCAAACAGGAUUAGAUACCCCCGUAGUCCCUGUCUCUUAUAC
Molecule: ribosomal RNA, 301 nt
Filed under: uncultured bacterium
Lineage: Bacteria
Description: partial 16S ribosomal RNA
Rfam family: Bacterial small subunit ribosomal RNA
Source: RNAcentral